This 732-nucleotide ribosomal RNA is filed under the name Triticum aestivum (bread wheat). Its description in RNAcentral is "partial small subunit ribosomal RNA". Lineage: Eukaryota; Viridiplantae; Streptophyta; Magnoliopsida; Poales; Poaceae. The record is from RNAcentral.
AUGCCCAUGUGUAUAGGUGAAGUGACAGUAUUACCAGAGGGGGGUGAUGCAGAAGAGGGCUCUGAUGGUGUUGGAACGGUUGUUUCUGUUGAUUGGAAUUCAGUAGAAUUAAAUGGCCCAACUGAUUUAGUCAUUGCACCAAUGGAUGACAUUGAGAUGGCCAAAAAAAUUGGCAUUCCAGUAGCUGAUGAAGAUAAGGAGGAGAAGGAUGGUGAAUCUAGUAUGCCUACUGAUACUGAUGCUAACAGAGAUAGAACUGAAGAUGUGGAUGGACAGCUGAUGGAAGAUGCUACAGAUGAUGUAGAUGAUGCACAUGAUGAUGAGUUGGUAAAUGUGUAUGACAAGGAAAACCCUGUUAUUGUAGUGGGGAAGUUGUUCCCAAACAUGGAUGAGUUUAGGAUGUGUUUCAAGACUUAUGCAGUCAAACAUGAGUUUGAUGCCAAGACUAAGUGGACUGAUAGAAAGAAGUUUUAUGCAAGAUGUAGAGGUUUUGAUGGAAGUGUCAAGCCUUGCAAGUGGUACAUAUCUGCUAGACGCCAACCUGAUGGAAGUACCAUUAGGGUGAAUCAAAUCCCUCACCAACACACUUGUAUUACAAGUUCACAGAGAGUAUCAACCAUGACAUCACAGCUUUGGAUUGCAGAAAAGAUCACUCCUAUUCUAGCCAAGAAACCAAACACUACUACAAAGAAACUUAAAAUAGACUUGGAAAAGCAAUACCCAUUAAGGUGA